AUUGAACGCUGGCGGCAGGCCUAACACAUGCAAGUCGAGCGAGCGGCGGACGGGUGAGUAAUGCCUGGGCAUUUCCCAGUCGAGGGGGAUAACAGUUGGAAACGACUGCUAAUACCGCAUACGAUACGUUUGCUCAGGUGGGAUUAGCUAGUUGAUAAGGUAAUGGCUCACCAAGGCGACGAUCCCUUGCUGGUCUGAGAGGAUGAUCAGCCACACGGGAACUGAGACACGGUCCAGACUCCUACGGGAGGCAGCAGUAGGGAAUAUUGCACAAUGGGCGAAACCCUGAUGGAGCCAUGCCGCGUGUGUGAAGAAGGCCUUCGGGUUGUAAAGCACUUUCAGCAAGGAGGCGUUACUCGCAGAAGAAGCACCGGCUAACUACGUGCCAGCAGCCGCGGUAAUUC
Molecule: ribosomal RNA, 404 nt
Filed under: uncultured bacterium
Lineage: Bacteria
Description: partial 16S ribosomal RNA
Rfam family: Bacterial small subunit ribosomal RNA
Source: RNAcentral